AGGGAACAGAUGCUCGUUGCCUUAAGGGUUAAAGGCAGAGAGUGCAAGCUGCUAGAGGGGAGGGUGCUGAUGCUCGAUACUGACUUGGGAAACGGCGUGGGGCUUAAGCUGAACAGCUGACCCGCCACCUCUGCACUUGUCUUGCAAGGAAUAGGGUCAAUCCCUAGCUAGAGAUCUGCCAUCCCCUUGUCUCGGUCCAGAUUUGGGUCUCUGCCUCCUGGGAUUUUAGACACACACGGUCGCCACAUGUUGACUGCAGCAGGCAAUGGCUCCCUCGCAUGUGUGAACAGCCAUUGGGGGUCACUCUGAAACACCACAGAGAUUGGUCGUUGCUUUGACGAAUAUCCUGUAACCGACCACCUUCCUGAGCCCUCUGGUCUCUCCCACUGCCAAUAAAAAUAAAAUACUUGUUUACCUGACGCUGACACAAAAGCUCACAUACUAUAGAAAUGAAUGAAAUGUUUAUUUCUUUCCCGCUUUCCUUCCCUCUCUCUUCCCACUUUUCUUCCACCCCCCCCCAACUCCAUAUUGUCUAGAACAGUACUGUCUCACUCUGAAUAGGACUGAUUUGUUUGAAGGAUUCUGUGACUUGAAAACAGGAACUCUGGGUGUACCCAAGAAUUUAAUAAAAACAUUUUUAAAAACAA
Molecule: non-coding RNA, 647 nt
Organism: Podarcis muralis (Common wall lizard)
Lineage: Eukaryota; Metazoa; Chordata; Lepidosauria; Squamata; Lacertidae
Source: RefSeq, a predicted model, not a curated record